Molecule: ribosomal RNA, 568 nt
Filed under: uncultured bacterium
Lineage: Bacteria
Description: partial 16S ribosomal RNA
Rfam family: Bacterial small subunit ribosomal RNA
Source: RNAcentral
UGGGGAAUUUUGGACAAUGGGCGAAAGCCUGAUCCAGCAAUGCCGCGUGUGUGAAGAAGGCCUUCGGGUUGUAAAGCACUUUUGUCCGGAAAGAAAUCCUCUGGGUUAAUACCUCGGGGGAUGACGGUACCGGAAGAAUAAGCACCGGCUAACUACGUGCCAGCAGCCGCGGUAAUACGUAGGGUGCAAGCGUUAAUCGGAAUUACUGGGCGUAAAGCGUGCGUAGGCGGUUUCUUAAGUCUGCUGUGAAAUCCCCGGGCUCAACCUGGGAAUGGCAGUGGAUACUGGGAGGCUAGAGUGUGUCAGAGGGUGGUGGAAUUCCCGGUGUAGCGGUGAAAUGCGUAGAGAUCGGGAGGAACAUCAGUGGCGAAGGCGGCCACCUGGGACAACACUGACGCUGAGGCACGAAAGCGUGGGGAGCAAACAGGAUUAGAUACCCUGGGUAGUCCACGCCCUAAACGAUGCGAACUGGAUGUUGGUCUCAACUCGGAGAUCAGUGUCGAAGCUAACGCGUUAAGUUCGCCGCCUGGGGAGUACGGUCGCAAGACUGAAACUCAAAGGAAUUGAC